UCCGCUUUUAUACUUCCAUUCCCAGACUCCUAUAUAGGAAUGAGCAAACGAACCGACCCGGCUUGAACCAGCCCGAACCGGACCCGACUUGGGAACUGAAACCGGCCGAAAUUAAGAACCGAAACCGAUCGUCGGUUCUACCGGUUCUUGUCGUGUCUUCAAUGUUGGAACCGGUCAUCGAGAAAUAGCAAUAUACCGUUCCAGUUUUUUCCGGUUCCUACCAAUUCCUAGUUCUAAAAGUCCACAAGAAUAUCAUCCCGGUCCCGGCCCGAUCGGUUUUAACGGCUUUCGGUUCCAGUACCGGUUCCCCGGUUCAAAUGCUCAUCCCUACUCCUGUAUAUCCAUCGUUUGCAUCUUCUUCUCUCUCAGCGACUCAAUCACAACACUAUGUAUCCCUUAUCUACUUUAAUAUGGAGAUGUAUGCAGUUGGAUCAUCUUCAAGGCACCUAUCAUGAUUGGAAAAAGGUCCACAUGCACAUUUGAUUGUUAAGAUGGUAGACAAUUGUUCAUAAGGUAUAAAGAGGAGAAUCGAUUAUGCCAAGUUCGUCUACAAUCAAGUUUCCUAUUUUUUCUCUAAAUAUUUAGUUUGAUAGUUUCAUAUUUUGAGUGUUACUAGCAC
Non-coding RNA from Lactuca sativa (garden lettuce), 619 nucleotides. NCBI's taxonomy places the organism in Eukaryota, Viridiplantae, Streptophyta, Magnoliopsida, Asterales, Asteraceae. The record is from RefSeq and is a predicted model, not a curated record.